GACAUACGGGGGAGGCCUAAAACAUGCAAGCCGAGCGGUAGAGUCUCUUCGGAGACUUGAGAGCGGCGCACGGGUGCGGAACACGUGUGCAACCUGCCUUUAUCUGGGGGAUAGCCUUUCGAAAGGAAGAUUAAUACCCCAUAAUAUAUUGAAUGGCAUCAUUCGAUAUUGAAAACUCCGGUGGAUAGAGAUGGGCACGCGCAAGAUUAGAUAGUUGGUGAGGUAACGGCUCACCAAGUCUGCGAUCUUUAGGGGGCCUGAGAGGGUGAUCCCCCACACUGGUACUGAGACACGGACCAGACUCCUACGGGAGGCAGCAGUGAGGAAUAUUGGACAAUGGGUGAGAGCCUGAUCCAGCCAUCCCGCGUGAAGGACGACGGCCCUAUGGGUUGUAAACUUCUUUUGUAUAGGGAUAAACCUACUCUCGUGAGAGUAGCUGAAGGUACUAUACGAAUAAGCACCGGCUAACUCCGUGCCAGCAGCCGCGGUAAUACGGAGGGUGCAAGCGUUAUCCGGAUUUAUUGGGUUUAAAGGGUCCGUAGGCGGAUCUGUAAGUCAGUGGUGAAAUCUCACAGCUUAACUGUGAAACUGCCAUUGAUACUGCAGGUCUUGAGUGUUAUUGAAGUAGCUGGAAUAAGUAGUGUAGCGGUGAAAUGCAUAGAUAUUACUUAGAACACCAAUUGCGAAGGCAGGUUACUAAGCAACAACUGACGCUGAUGGACGAAAGCGUGGGGAGCGAACAGGAUUAGAUACCCUGGUAGUCCACGCCGUAAACGAUGCUAACUCGUUUUUGGGAUGUAAGUUUCAGAGACUAAGCGAAAGUGAUAAGUUAGCCACCUGGGGAGUACGAACGCAAGUUUGAAACUCAAAGGAAUUGACGGGGGCCCGCACAAGCGGUGGAUUAUGUGGUUUAAUUCGAUGAUACGCGAGGAACCUUACCAAGGCUUAAAUGGGAAAUGACAGGCUUAGAAAUAGGCUUUUCUUCGGACAUUUUUCAAGGUGCUGCAUGGUUGUCGUCAGCUCGUGCCGUGAGGUGUUAGGUUAAGUCCUGCAACGAGCGCAACCCCUGUCACUAGUUGCCAUCAUUAAGUUGGGGACUCUAGUGAGACUGCCUACGCAAGUAGAGAGGAAGGUGGGGAUGACGUCAAAUCAUCACGGCCCUUACGCCUUGGGCCACACACGUAAUACAAUGGCCGGUACAGAGGGCAGCUACACAGCGAUGUGAUGCAAAUCUCGAAAGCCGGUCUCAGUUCGGAUUGGAGUCUGCAACUCGACUCUAUGAAGCUGGAAUCGCUAGUAAUCGCGCAUCAGCCAUGGCGCGGUGAAUACGUUCCCGGGCCUUGUACACACCGCCGCGUCAAGCCAUGGAAGUCUGGGGUACCUGAAGUCGGUGACCGUAACAGGAGCUGCCUAGUUAAAACCAUAUUU
This 1428-nucleotide ribosomal RNA is filed under the name bacterium. Its description in RNAcentral is "bacterial SSU rRNA". It matches the Rfam family "Bacterial small subunit ribosomal RNA". The record is from RNAcentral.